CCGAGCCGCAUCUGCAACCUACACCACAGCUCACGGCAACUCCGGAUCGUUAACCCACUGAGCAAGGGCAGUGACUGAACCCGCAACCUCAUGGUUCCUAGUCGGAUUCGUUAACCACUGCGCCAUGACGGGAACCCAGGAGUUGGUGGUUUUCUGCUUCCUCCUCGCACUAUGACUCUCACGAUUGGUGAGGGUCUUGACCAAGGAAGGCCGCGAGAGAAAAAAACAGCUACCCCCAUUCCCCUCCAGUAGUAAGUAGUUAAGCUGAAGUGUGGACCUACUCAGAGUGGGUUCCAAUUCUGGCCCCGCCUCUGUCACGCUGGUAAAGAUUCUUAACCUCGCUAUGCCUCGGUUUCAUCUUAUGAUAAAAAUAUCUUAAAAGAUAAUGAUAGUGUGUACAGCAUAGGGUUGAUUUGGGGAUUAAAUAAUUUAAAAGGAUUAAAUAAUUUAAAGGCAGUUUGUGACACCAGUUUUUGGGAAGCACUUUAAGGUAAUCGCAGUUCUUUUACGUCUCAGCUUUUAAAAUUUGUGGGGAGUUCCUGUUGUGUCUCAGCGGAUUACGACCCGGGUUAGUAUCCAUGAGGAUACGGGUUCAAAUCCCUGGCUUCCCUCAGUGGGUUAAGGAUCUGGCGUUGCCACAAGCUGCUGCCUAUGUUGCCGAUGCCGUUAGAAUCUGGCGUGGCUGUGGCUGUCGCGGAUUGAGACUGUGCCCUUCCUUUGUUUCAGACCCUCCCAAGACUCCUUUUGAUUAUAGCAGUGGCUCAGAGGUUGGGUGUGUGGGGCCAAGAAGGGGGUGGGGGAAGUUGGGGGGGUGGUGGGAAGAGAAUACUAGAAUAUGUCUAAUUUUUGUCUUUUUUGGUUUCUUUUUGUGUGUACAUGUUUACAAACUAUUACUUGUAAAUAAAUAUUUAUUUACUGGGGUUUGGGCUGAAAACUUAUUUUUAAGUGAUGUGCUGUCAAGACUGUAUAGAGAAUUCCAGUGUUCCAGCCUUCCCAGCCUCAUUGUCCAAAAUCCCCUGCCUAAUGCCCCAGCCCAGAGUUUGCUGUUCCAUUGUAUUCCAGGAAAAGUCCUUCCAUCUAGUCUCUUUGAUUUUUUUGUUUGUUUUUUUUACCUCCUUUCCCCUGGGAUGACACUUACUCCCCCAUCCUCCAUCUCCAUUUUUUUUUUUUUUUUUCCCUCUUUAGGGCUGUACCCGAGGCACAUGGAGAGUCCCAGGCUAGGGGUCCAAUGGGAGCUGUCGCUGCCAGCCUACAUCACAGCCAGAGCAACACAGGAUCUGAGCCAUGUCUUCGACCUACACCACCACUCACUGCAACGCUGGAUCCUUAAUCCACUGAGCAAGGCCAGGGAUGGAACCCACAACCUCAUGAUUCCUGGGCAGAUUUGUUUCCACUGCGCCAUGAUGGGAACUCCCCCCCAUCUCCAUUUUUGCAUGCCAGAUUCCUGCUCUGCUUUAGGACUUUUGCGUAUCUCCAAAAUGCUGAGGGUGCGGCCCUUACAAAAAAGAAAAGGUCGAAAGUCUUGGGUUUGGCAUUCAGGACCCUUCAGGAUCUGAUUUCCUCACACCUCGUUUCUCACCAACCUGCACUCAACCUCCUGGUGUUCUCAGCCACCCAGAAUUGCUCUCAUGCUUCCAAACUCUGUAGAAGCCUUUUCUUCUCUGCCUGUACUGAUCCCAUCUACUUGCUACCUUCCCACGGUCUCCCAGGCGAAUGCUUAAUCCGUCCGCAUCUUUUAUGGCAGUUUUUGGUGAAAGGUUCCCGAAUUCCUGAGCAUUUACUAGGCCUCUGUUGAGGUCCCAGCAGUCCUGUUAUGUAUCGAUUCCUAUCACAAAAUUUGUUAACUGAUGUCCGGCGACCCCCUCCACUGUACCAUGCCUAGGGCCCCGUGUCUGCGUGGGUGUGCAAGGAUGUCGGUGACCUGUCUGCCUCGCCAGCAAACAUCAGAAAACUACAAUUCCCAGAACCUCAGCGGAACUGCGCCUGCACCAUUGCUAUGGUGACCACAGGCGCCCGCUAGGAUUCUUGCGCUUUGCGUCAUUCGUGAUGCUACGUUGAGGGAGCGUAGGUACCUCCUCUCCGUCCGUCCUUUAUCUUUUUCUUCCCUUGUCCUGCGGUUCUCUACUUCGUGAAAGUGUAGUUUCACAGCCGAAUCAAAUAAUUUUAUGGGCAGAGACGCAAGCCAUUCACGUUCUUCCAUUCUAGAUUCGGGAAGCCUAGGCUCGGAGACCGGGUGGUACACGACUAGGCGUUCGUCGCUGCGUGGCGGCCAUCUGUUCUCCCGCAACAAAGCCUUGUUCCCUUCUUCAAAGUUUGAAAGGGUGGCUCGAUGUUAAACGAAGGCCCCCGUUCCCACUCCUCCGAAAAUUAGCCUCAGCCGCUGCGUGAGGGCGGGCUGUGGCAGAUCACAGGUAGUUUAACAAUCCCCCCUCCCACCGCCCCGGGUCUCCUUUCUCGGGACUUCUGUCUUCAACGUAUAGGAUUUCCUCGUGUUUACACGUCUCAGUCAUAACCUGAGAAUAGCUUUAACGCUACCCUUCUACAGAUAGGCCAUCUAUAAAUAUGAAUAUUGGGAACUUUAGGCCUGUAUCAGAUACCAUUGUCACGCAGAUUUGAAUAAACUGGGUAACCCGAGGAUCCUAGCACAUUUGGGGAAGGCAGUGAGAGUUUAGAAACUUAACCCUACCUUCACCCCACGCCCCCCAAAAGCCCAGAGGUAUAUUAAGCUGAAAGAUAAAGUAAUGGAUCCCAAGGCCUGAAAUAUAAUGAAAAUCAGAUUGGUUAAAAAAGAACGUGCUGUUUGGGAGUAGAUAAAAUAGCAAGUUGAAGAUGCAACAGAACCAAAGAAUCACUGAAGCAAACAAGUGCCAGGCUUAUGGUGGUAGGGGUAACCUAAUGUUGUAAACAUUCCAUCCCUAGAAUUAUACUCCCCUCAUUCUGUGUAAGGUCUCUUGACUUUAAUUAGGCUUCCCAAAUGGUACACAAAGAAGACACACUCUAAAGCCAAUGCUGCAGGCUACUGCACCUGACAUUUCUUACCAUUAAUUAACUCACUGGAGUCUGGCUUUAUAGACCAAUAUAGCUUUACUAGUGAGUCAACCUUCCUGAGUACAGAUCAGGAUUAUUAAACUACCUUGAGAAAAGCUGCCAAGAGUGGCCUUUUCAAGGAAACACUCUGCUCUGUCAGGGUGCACAGAAUUCUUAUCAAAGCAAGUUUUAUCACAUUCCUGCCCAGUGACUAGGAUAAAGACUGCAUCUUUCUUACCCUGGCUGCAAGGAGACAACCUGCAGAAGGCUUCAAGCUAUCUCAUCUGAGGGUUAAGAGUUUCAGAUAGUGUGCUGACUACUGCGAAAGGGGUGGAGGAGCCACAUAAUUCCUUUAGUCACUCAUUUAAGAGCCAAAAAUAGGAGUUCCCACUGUGGCACAGCAGGUUAAGGAUCCAGCAUUGUCUCUUCAGCAGCGCUGGUUCAGUCUCCAGCCUGGUGCAGUGGUUUAAGGAUCUGGCUUUGCUGUAGCUGUGGCAUGGAUUGCAGCUGUGGCUCAGAUUUGAUACCUGGACUGGGAACUCACAUGUGCUGUGUGAGGGGGACCAAAAAAAAGAAUAGACAAUAGCUCAAGAGCUCAGUGUGGUAGAAGAGUCAUGUAGACACACAAAUGUAUCACACAACUUUAUAAAGGCAUGAAAUGAAUAGCUAAAAUAGUGUGUAAGAAGUACACCUUCCUCAGAAAGCUUUUCCUUACCAUCCAAUUUAGGUAUCAGGUAUCAUUCCCAUCUUAUUUUCUUCGCUUUUAAAUUUUGGAUUAAAUUGUUUACUGGUUUGCCUAUCUUGCCUCACAAGACUGUAAGCACCAUAGAUGCAGUUGCCUUAACUGUCCAGCUCAGUAUUAUAUUCCUAGUGCUCAGAAAAGCACUUGGCAACAGUCGGUGUUCAAUAAACAUGCAUCAAAUGACGAUCUUUUUGCUGCCUUCAAGAAGGGAGCAGAAAGACAAGUGCCACUAGAGUAGGCCAUCUGUCAAGUGAGAAGGGAUUUAAUUCCAGGCAUAAGAAAAUUAGGAGCACCAUGAAAAAUGGACAGUUUGAGAGGAAAAUUUAGUAAUCCAUGCAAGUGCCAACCAGAACCUUUAAGAAUAAGUAGACUUGGAGUUCUCUGGUGGCUCAGUGGGCUAAGGAUCUGGUACUGUCAUUGCUGUGGUGCAGGUUCAAUCCUUGGCCAGGGAAUUUCUGCCUGCCAUGGGUGCAGUCCAAAAAAAAAAAAA
RNAcentral lists this long non-coding RNA (4259 nucleotides) under Sus scrofa (pig). Its description in RNAcentral is "lncRNA (ENSSSCG00045003563.1)". Lineage: Eukaryota; Metazoa; Chordata; Mammalia; Artiodactyla; Suidae. The record is from RNAcentral.